RNAcentral lists this long non-coding RNA (1042 nucleotides) under Chloebia gouldiae (Gouldian finch). Its description in RNAcentral is "Erythrura gouldiae (Gouldian finch) lncRNA (ENSEGOG00005009035.1)". The record is from RNAcentral. Lineage: Eukaryota; Metazoa; Chordata; Aves; Passeriformes; Passeridae.
CCUUGCCCUGGCUCUGCUCGUCCCUCAGCUGAGCUUCAAUCGCCGCUUUAAAGGGCGCAGCUGCGGCUUCUUCCCGGUGGGUUUCUCCCAUUCCGGUCACGUCCUCCCGGCUCGCUCUCCGUGCUCGGAAUGCCCCGCUCCUCACGUUAAGCAGAGCCACAAAGGCUCCUGGGCCUCCCCGGGGGGACCUCCACGACAAAAAGGUGACCGUGCCACCCGCGGGGUGUCCUUUGGGGGAGCAGGUUCGGGAUGCUCAGGCAGCGCUCACCUUCCUGCCGGCUGCCAAAGCGGGACAUCCACUCGGGGAUGUCAUUCCCCGCCACGUGUGCUCGGGAGAAGGGGUGUGACAGCGCGGGGAGCCCGUGGUGACACUUGGGUGUCCCCAGGAGUGGCCCUUUGCUGCCGGCCCUGCUUCAUCCCGCUCCUCCUGGAUCCAGCUGUGCCGCUCCUGCCACCGCACCUGGCUCGGGGCAGAGCCCCGUGUCACACCACCGCCUCUCUGCCCCUAUUCUCGUUGCCGUCUCACUCGUGCCAACCUUUAUUUCCCCUCCCCAGCCCCCCGCGGGAAGUUCUUAAACCUCUGCCCAGCUGCGGCUUUUCCCACCUCCCGCAGGGGACAAAACCACGGACGCCCGCGCCUUCCCCUCACCGAGGGGAAGGAGGAAAACCCAAAAAAACGACCCCCAAAACCCCCCGUAAAAGCUGCGCCGGAGCCCAGGUAUGUGGGAGGGUUCUAGUCCGUCACGCCCUCCCCGCGUCACUGGCUGCGGGCUCGCAGCCUUUUGUAAGCGGGGAGAUGCAGCUGUCAGCCGAGCCCGGCUCGCUCCCGGACUAGGAAUGGGCAGGGGGAGGUCGCCUGUUGCCCUCCUGGUGGCCCUGUGGCUCAGCCAGCUGGGCGCGGGGGCAGCGGGGCGCCCCAAGGUGAACCCCAGGAUCAUCGCGGCUCCCCAAGGUGAGUCCCGGGCUGCGCCCUCGGGAUGCGGCUGCUCCCGGCGCCGGCUCCUUCCUACCUGGGGCUCGUCCUUGGAGCACUCGGGCUAUU